AUGGAUUAAUGUUAAAGGAUGAAUGAAUCUGCUUACAGAAGUGUAUAAGGUUCAGGGGUUGUUUCAGACCUGUGGAAUGUACUUGACGCAUGUCAUGGCAACCUGAAUCGAGCUAUACAACAACAAUAAACCAUAAAGAAAGAGUCAGAUUAGCAUUAAAAGAGAGUUGGGCAAAAGGCAGGGAGGGGAUAAUAGAGCAUACUUGAAGAUGGUAAUGAGCCAGAGCCAAGACUGUGAAGGUAAAGCAAUGAAGAAACAGAUAGCUGCAAAACCCCAGACAAGAACCACAAGACCUGUAGCAAAUCUGGAUACUUUCUGAGGUCCACGCUGAGAGCAUUAUUAAGUCAAAUAUAAACAAACCAUCAGAUAUAGAGAGAAACAAAGCAGACAUUCCAAAAGAAAAAAAAAAAAGAAGCAAAC
This is a long non-coding RNA of Brassica rapa (field mustard), 420 nucleotides long. RefSeq lists it as uncharacterized. NCBI's taxonomy places the organism in Eukaryota, Viridiplantae, Streptophyta, Magnoliopsida, Brassicales, Brassicaceae. The record is from RefSeq and is a predicted model, not a curated record.